This 253-nucleotide ribosomal RNA is filed under the name uncultured bacterium. RNAcentral describes it as "partial 16S ribosomal RNA". It matches the Rfam family "Bacterial small subunit ribosomal RNA", at positions 524 to 776 of the family's 1533-position model. The record is from RNAcentral.
UACGUAGGGUGCAAGCGUUGUCCGGAAUUAUUGGGCGUAAAGAGCUCGUAGGCGGUUUGUUGCGUCGGCUGUGAAAUCCCGAGGCUCAACCUCGGGUCUGCAGUCGAUACGAGCAAACUAGAGUGUUGCAGGGGAGACUGGAAUUCCUGGUGUAGCGGUGAAAUGCGCAGAUAUCAGGAAGAACACCAAUGGCGAAGGCAGCUCUCUGGGACGGUACUGACGCUGAGGAGCGAAAGCGUGGGGAGCGAACAGG